Molecule: ribosomal RNA, 726 nt
Filed under: Pseudoalteromonas sp. alk7
Lineage: Bacteria; Pseudomonadati; Pseudomonadota; Gammaproteobacteria; Alteromonadales; Pseudoalteromonadaceae
Description: bacterial SSU rRNA
Rfam family: Bacterial small subunit ribosomal RNA
Source: RNAcentral
AUGAGCUGGCGGCAGGCCUAACACAUGCAAGUCGAGCGGUAACAUUUCUAGCUUGCUAGAAGAUGACGAUCGGCGGACGGGUGAGUAAUGCUUGGGAAUAUGCCUUAAGGUGGGGGACAACAGUUGGAAACGACUACUAUACCGCAUAACGUCUACGGACCAAAGAGGGGCUUCGGCUCUCGCCCUUAGAUUAGCCCAAGUGGGAUUAGCUAGUUGGUGAGGGUAAUGGGCUCACCAAGGGCGACGAUCCCUAGCUGGUUUGAGAGGGAUGAUCAGCCACACUGGAACUGAGACACGGUCCAGACUCCUACGGGAGGGCAGCAGUGGGGAAUAUUGCACAAUGGGCGCAAGCCUGAUGCAGCCAUGCCGCGUGUGUGAAGAAGGCCUUAGGGUUGUAAAGCACUUUCAGUAAGGAGGAAAGGUUAGUAGUUAAUACCUGCUAGCUGUGACGUUACUUACAGAAGAAGCACCGGCUUAACUCCGUGCCAGCAGCCGCGGUAAUACGGAGGGUGCGAGCGUUAAUCGGAAUUACUGGGCGUAAAGCGUACGCAGGCCGGUUUGUUAAGCGAGAUGUGAAAGCCCCGGGCUCAACCUGGGAACUGCAUUUCGAACUGGCAAACUAGAGUAUGAUAGAGGGUGGUAGAAUUUCAGGUGUAGCGGUGAAAUGCGUAGAGAUCUGAAGGAAUACCGAUUGGCGAAGGCAGCCACCUGGGUUAAUACUGACGC